Molecule: ribosomal RNA, 253 nt
Filed under: uncultured bacterium
Lineage: Bacteria
Description: partial 16S ribosomal RNA
Rfam family: Bacterial small subunit ribosomal RNA
Source: RNAcentral
UACGUAGGGACCGAGCGUUGUCCGGAAUCAUUGGGCGUAAAGAGCGUGUAGGCGGCCAACUAAGUCCUGCGUGAAAUCUCGGGGCUCAACCCCGAGCGGUCGUGGGAAACUGGUUGGCUAGAGUGCGGGAGAGGAGAGUGGAAUUCCUGGUGUAGCGGUGAAAUGCGCAGAUAUCAGGAAGAACACCCGUGGCGAAGGCGGCUCACUGGCUCGGUACUGACGCUGAGGUGCGAAAGCGUGGGGAGCAAACAGG